ACCAAAAUUGGGCUUUUCCUCUUUCGUUGUCAACCAGCGGCACGAGUGCUAUUGCUCGCUCGAUCAUACAUUUUUCAAUCUAUAAAGACGUGAGCCUUCACAAGGUUUUUCCUUUUGUGUUAUUGCUGCAUUUGGAAUUCCAAUUACGUCUCCGAGGCCAAUAAUCUUCGACGCCAAGGGUAGUAACCAGUGGUGGACACAAUAACACCCCGUUCCCGCGAUGGCCACGCGAGGAAGAGCGGCCACCCCUUAGUGACCACCGUCGUCGCGCAUGAUGGUCACCUUCUAAGUUCUAAUAAAGCACGCCAAAGACAUCACGACACCCAGCUUAACAUCAUACAGUCGUAUUGGCCGGAUUACGUAAUUAUAUAGACACCUAGAAUCAUAGUUAACAAAAAGUAGCUCACUUGUACGCCUUAGUUGUUUAUUAUUGUUAAUCUUAUAAUUAAAUAUUAUUAAAUUUAACUACAUGUUAUGGCCAGUGAGUAACAUUGCUCGUCGUUGAUCCACGGCAUUUGGCCGACCCCUUUUUUUUAUUUUCUUUAAAGCGAGGCCACUGGGCACUCGCUACAAAUGGUAGCAGAGCGUAACGUAAAUUUUAUUGUUGUAAUCUUUAUCAAAAUUGUUGGUGUAUUGUGAGCUACGAUUAUUUUUAUGUGUUGUUUAUGCAAUAACCUUGUGAUAAUUUAUCGAUUUUAUUUGUCGCGCUUGUACCGAUCGAUCAUAUUUAUGCAGCAUGUGCGGUUGAUAGUCAAUUAGAUAUUUUACUCGUAUAGGUAUUUUCCGCGUUUUAA
Photinus pyralis (common eastern firefly) is the source of this 794-nucleotide long non-coding RNA. RefSeq lists it as uncharacterized. The record is from RefSeq and is a predicted model, not a curated record. NCBI's taxonomy places the organism in Eukaryota, Metazoa, Arthropoda, Insecta, Coleoptera, Lampyridae. The transcript has 2 exons.